AAUCAACGCUGGCGGCGUGCCUAACACAUGCAAGUCGAACGAGAAAGUGGAGCAAUCCAUGAGUAAAGUGGCGACCGGGUGAGUAACACGUGACUAACCUACCUUCAAGUGGGGGAUAACCUCGGGAAACCGGGGCUAAUACCGCAUAACAUCCUUAGAGUGGAAAUUCCGGGGAUCAAAGGAGCAAUUCGCUGGAAGAGGGGGUCGCGGCUGAUUAGCUAGUUGGCGGGGUAAUGGCCCACCAAGGCAGAGAUCGGUAGCCGGCCUGAGAGGGCGCACGGCCACACUGGAACUGAAACACGGUCCAGACUCCUACGGGAGGCAGCAGUGGGGAAUUUUGCGCAAUGGGGGAAACCCUGACGCAGCAACGCCGCGUGGAGGAUGAAGUCCCUUGGGACGUAAACUCCUUUCGACCGGGACGAUAAUGACGGUACCGGUGGAAGAAGCCCCGGCUAACUUCGUGCCAGCCGCCGCGGUAAG
RNAcentral lists this ribosomal RNA (480 nucleotides) under uncultured bacterium. RNAcentral describes it as "bacterial SSU rRNA". It matches the Rfam family "Bacterial small subunit ribosomal RNA", at positions 32 to 524 of the family's 1533-position model. The record is from RNAcentral.